Molecule: long non-coding RNA, 434 nt
Organism: Ictalurus punctatus (channel catfish)
Lineage: Eukaryota; Metazoa; Chordata; Actinopteri; Siluriformes; Ictaluridae
Source: Ensembl
GCGAUUUCAGCUGGUGCACCAGUUCAGGACGGCGUGAUGAAACAAGCACUCGGGAUGAGUGAUGUGUGCCAGCAUGAUGCUGCCUGCUCUGCCGACUCACAGCUUCAAGACUCAGCAGAGCCCUCAUUACAGCGGCAGCAUAAUGUCAUACCAGGCUGACUGAGAACUCAGUGGAUGCAGCCGUUCAAAACACCAGAUAAAGGUACCCUUAGAGGAUAUAGCUGCCCCGCAGACACCAACACAUCCACUACAGCUAGAAGCCCCUGUGCAUGCUUUUUAGAUAAUGGAGUGGAUGAGUAGCUGGGACAUUUGCUGAGUGGCAGCAUGAGAGUGUUACUGCUCUUCAUUACCACAUUAGCCAACAUCCUGGUGAAGAUUACAUGGAUAUAGAGAGGAUUAUGUAAAGAUGCAGCAUGAUGUAAGCGACUAAAUCG